This 1177-nucleotide ribosomal RNA is filed under the name Enterobacter cloacae. RNAcentral's name for it is "bacterial LSU rRNA". It matches the Rfam family "Bacterial large subunit ribosomal RNA", at positions 1 to 1212 of the family's 2925-position model. Lineage: Bacteria; Pseudomonadati; Pseudomonadota; Gammaproteobacteria; Enterobacterales; Enterobacteriaceae. The record is from RNAcentral.
GGGUUGUGAGGUUAAGCGACUAAGCGUACACGGUGGAUGCCCUGGCAGUCAGAGGCGAUGAAGGACGUGCUAAUCUGCGAAAAGCGCCGGCGAGGUGAUAUGAACCCUUGACCCGGCGAUGUCCGAAUGGGGAAACCCAGUGCAAUCCGUUGCACUAUCGUUAACUGAAUACAUAGGUUAACGAGGCGAACCGGGGGAACUGAAACAUCUAAGUACCCCGAGGAAAAGAAAUCAACCGAGAUUCCCCCAGUAGCGGCGAGCGAACGGGGAGCAGCCCGGAGUCUGAAUCAGCUUGUGUGUUAGUGGAACGGUCUGGAAAGUCCGACGGUACAGGGUGAUAGUCCCGUACACGAAAGCACACAUGCUGUGAACUCGAAGAGUAGGGCGGGACACGUGGUAUCCUGUCUGAAUAUGGGGGGACCAUCCUCCAAGGCUAAAUACUCCUGACUGACCGAUAGUGAACCAGUACCGUGAGGGAAAGGCGAAAAGAACCCCGGCGAGGGGAGUGAAAAAGAACCUGAAACCGUGUACGUACAAGCAGUGGGAGCCUCUUUAUGGGGUGACUGCGUACCUUUUGUAUAAUGGGUCAGCGACUUAUAUUCUGUAGCAAGGUUAACCGUAUAGGGGAGCCGAAGGGAAACCGAGUCUUAACUGGGCGUUAAGUUGCAGGGUAUAGACCCGAAACCCGGUGAUCUAGCCAUGGGCAGGUUGAAGGUUGGGUAACACUAACUGGAGGACCGAACCGACUAAUGUUGAAAAAUUAGCGGAUGACCUGUGGCUGGGGGUGAAAGGCCAAUCAAACCGGGAGAUAGCUGGUUCUCCCCGAAAGCUAUUUAGGUAGCGCCUCGUGAACUCAUCUUCGGGGGUAGAGCACUGUUUCGGCUAGGGGGCCAUCCCGGCUUACCAACCCGAUGCAAACUACGAAUACCGAAGAAUGUUAUCACGGGAGACACACGGCGGGUGCUAACGUCCGUCGUGAAGAGGGAAACAACCCAGACCGCCAGCUAAGGUCCCAAAGUCAUGGUUAAGUGGGAAACGAUGUGGGAAGGCACAGACAGCCAGGAUGUUGGCUUAGAAGCAGCCAUCAUUUAAAGAAAGCGUAAUAGCUCACUGGUCGAGUCGGCCUGCGCGGAAGAUGUAACGGGGCUAAACCAUGCACCGAAGCUGCGGCAGCGAC